Long non-coding RNA from Taeniopygia guttata (zebra finch), 1619 nucleotides. The record is from Ensembl. NCBI's taxonomy places the organism in Eukaryota, Metazoa, Chordata, Aves, Passeriformes, Estrildidae.
UUUUUUUUUUUUUUUUUUUUUUUUUUCCCAGACUAGGAUAGAGUUGAAAAAGUUCAGUUUAGCUGUUCUGCUGAGAUCUGCUCCUGCUCCAUGCUGGCUGGCAGCCGUUGCUCCCUGCAGCCCCCAGCCCUGUGCAUCGGGAGCUGCCUUCUGCCGCUUGAGUAGGUCACCUGUGGGCAUGUGCAGCUCUGUGCGGCUGAACUUAAAAAGAGCUGACAUGCACUUGCUUAGAUGCAGGUUUGUCUACACAGAAAAGGUAAUUAGGUACAUGGGAAAUAAAAAGGUUUAUGAUUUCAAAAAAGACAAUCCAAGUGAUAUAGUGUGAGAUCCUAGCUCCCUUAUGAUACCUGGAAUUCUGCCCACCUUUCAUGGGCAUUGACUUCCAUUCUAAUUCUCUGCCUAAACAUGGAGGCUAAAGUUACGGAUUGAGGUUUCAACUACACACAGAAGAGCUCCUAAAAGAGGGGAAUUCUGUUUGUUCUCCUCCAGCACUUGCAUUUUUAUGGAAGCAAAUUCUUUACUGUGGUUUUUCAGCAGAGUGGUAAGAGGUAACAAAGACUAGAUUUUUUUUUUUCUAAGAAAUAUUUUGCAUGCAUUUCCCAGAAGAAUUCAAAGAGCCCUUGGGGCCAGGGGAGUUUGGAGCUCGCUUUGGUGCCCAUGGGGUGUCCGGGCUGUCUGUGCUGUGGGCAGAGGUUGGCAGGGCUGGGCUCUCUCCUGCCCAGCUGUGUCCCUGGGGCACAGCAGUAUCUGAUGGCCCAAGCUCAGCCUCCCGCAUGUCUUUGGGGGCCCUUGGCAGAGCUUAAGGCACUCCGUCAUGGGCAGGGGGAUCCUGCAUGUCCAUGUCUCAGACCCCUCUUCUUCAGGCUGUCGGCUCUCCCUGUUGCAACGUGCUCGUGUUUGGUUGUGGUGCGGUGCCUCAAGUUCCCCUUUUGCAUGAUCCCUGGAUCGGCAGCCGGGCCUGGCAGCCCCAGGAGCAGAUUGGAGGUGCUGGCCCUGCUUGGGCGAGACCCUUGGUCCCCAGAGGUACAGAGGCAUCACCCUGACCAGAGCCUACAUCUUCCCUCCGUGUGUCUCAGGGUUUUCCAUGGUACGUCCCCAGCUGCAGGUCCCUCGGGGGUGCUUUGGUGGGAGUAGGCUUUGUUCUGGAUCUGCUCCGUGGCUGUGUCCCGGGGUAAGACCGAGCAAAAAAGCUCCAAGUGCGCUGCCCGGAUGGAGAGAAAGGCCCUCGGGGCUCUGCAUGAGGUGAUCAAGGCAGAUCUGUUUCCAAAGUGUUACUUGGCUGGGGUUUGCAGGGACAGUCCCUGCCCUGGUGGUGCAUCCCUCUGCCCAAGUGGCAAUUCCUUGUGCCCAAUGGUCCCUCGGCCGCCCGCCCUCCUGCUUGCAUGUUACCUGGGAAGGCAGCUGCACCCUCCUGAAGUGUCAGCCUUCUUCCAGCAAGGACUGACUCAGCCCCAGGUGCUUUUUGGAGCCUGCUGCAGGGCUCCCCUGUGUUUAGUGACAGUGUGGGGCACCCCCAGCUUCACACCAGCCCUGCGAGGUCAGCACCAGGGUUGGCAAAUGGGCCCCUGAUGCUCCCAGCUGCAGGACUGGCCUCGGGGCCACGCCAGGGCAGGGGCCCA